UACGUAGGUGGCAAGCGUUAUCCGGAUUUACUGGGUGUAAAGGGCGUGUAGGCGGUUUCGCAAGUCAGAAGUGAAAUUCCCGGGCUUAACUCGGGCGCUGCUUCUGAAACUGCGGAACUUGAGUGCUGGAGGGGAUAGCGGAAUUCCUAGUGUAGCGGUAAAAUGCGCAGAUAUUAGGAGGAACACCGGUGGCGAAGGCGGCUAUCUGGACAGUAACUGACGCUGAGACGCGAAAGCGUGGGGAGCGAAC
Molecule: ribosomal RNA, 250 nt
Filed under: uncultured prokaryote
Description: partial 16S ribosomal RNA
Rfam family: Bacterial small subunit ribosomal RNA
Source: RNAcentral